RNAcentral lists this unclassified non-coding RNA (320 nucleotides) under uncultured fungus. Its description in RNAcentral is "sequence contains ITS1, 5.8S rRNA gene". The stretch from base 272 to 320 matches the Rfam family "5.8S ribosomal RNA", at positions 1 to 49 of the family's 154-position model. The record is from RNAcentral. Lineage: Eukaryota; Fungi.
UUUCCGUAGGUGAACCUGCGGAAGGAUCAUUAAAUAAUAAAUGCGGUCAUGGGAGCCACCUUUUGGUAAACAUGACUGACUUAUUAUACUGUGAACUGUUAAAAUCUAUCUGGCGUUUGAGGAAAGCUCUUUUGGUUGUAAUAGGCAAACCACUGUUUGAGAUGUUAACCGAGUCAGAGCCACGCUGAGGCGUGUUGCCUAUAAAACUUUAUAAACUAUUGACCAGUAUUUAAAACGUUUAACUUUUUAAGCUUUAUGCUUAAAAAAAAACAACUUUUAACAAUGGAUCUCUAGGCUCUCGCAUCGAUGAAGAACGCAGC